CUAUGGGUUGUAAACUGCUUUUCCUGGGGAAGAACCGCCCGGAUUAUUUCGGGUCUGACGGUACCCGGGGAAUAAGCACCGGCUAACUCCGUGCCAGCAGCCGCGGUAAUACGGAGGGUGCAAGCGUUAUCCGGAUUUAUUGGGUUUAAAGGGUGCGUAGGCGGGCCGGCAAGUCAGUGGUGAAAUCCCGCAGCUCAACUGCGGAACUGCCAUUGAAACUACCAGCCUCGAGUACGGUUGAAGUGGGUGGAAUGUGUCAUGUAGCGGUGAAAUGCAUAGAUAUGACACAGAACGCCGAUAGCGGAGGCAGCUCACUAAACCGAGACUGACGCUGAGGCACGAAAGCGUGGGUAGCGAACAGGACUAGAUACCCUGGUAGUCCACGCCGUAAACGAUGAUAACUCGAUGUGUGCGAUAUACAGUACGCGUCCAAGCGAAAGUGAUAAGUUAUCCACCUGGGGAGUACGUCCGCAAGGAUGAAACUCAAAGGAAUUGACGGGGGCCCGCACAAGCGGAGGAGCAUGUGGUUUAAUUCGAUGAUACGCGAGGAACCUUACCUGGGCUUAAAUGCAGGAUGAUUCAUGCCGAAAGGCGUGUUCCUUCGGGCAUUUUGCAAGGUGCUGCAUGGUUGUCGUCAGCUCGUGCCGUGAGGUGUCGGGUUAAGUCCCAUAACGAGCGCAACCCUUACUCCCAGUUGCCAUCACUUCGGGUGGGGACUCUGGGGGAACUGCCUACGCAAGUAGCGAGGAAGGUGGGGAUGACGUCAAAUCAGCACGGCCCUUAUGUCCAGGGCUACACACGUGCUACAAUGGCCUGUACAGAGGGCAGCUACCCGGCGACGGGGUGCCAAUCUCAAAAACAGGUCUCAGUUCGGAUCGGAGCCUGCAACUCGGCUCCGUGAAGUUGGAUUCGCUAGUAAUCGCGUAUCAGCAACGACGCGGUGAUACGUUCCCGGGCCUUGUACACACCGCCCGUCAAGCCAUGGGAGUCGGGGGUACCUGAAGUCGAUAACCGCAAGGAGUCGCCUAG
RNAcentral lists this ribosomal RNA (1029 nucleotides) under uncultured organism. RNAcentral describes it as "bacterial SSU rRNA". It matches the Rfam family "Bacterial small subunit ribosomal RNA", at positions 416 to 1460 of the family's 1533-position model. The record is from RNAcentral.